Molecule: ribosomal RNA, 468 nt
Filed under: uncultured bacterium
Lineage: Bacteria
Description: partial 16S ribosomal RNA
Rfam family: Bacterial small subunit ribosomal RNA (bases 52-468)
Source: RNAcentral
GGGGGGGGGGGGGGGGGGGGGGGGGGGGGGGGGGGCGGGGGGGGGGGGGGGGCGGGGGGGGGGGGGUCGGGUGGCGGAGGGGGGAGGAACACGGGAGUAACCUGCCCUGGACUGUGGGAUAACUUCAGGAAACUGGGGCUAAUACCGGAGAGGAGCUCCUGCUGCAUGGUGGGGGUUGGAAAGUUUCGGCGGUGGGGGAUGGACUCGCGGCUUAUCAGCUUGUUGGUGGGGUAGUGGCUUACCAAGGCUUUGACGGGUAGCCGGCCUGAGAGGGUGACCGGCCACAUUGGGACUGAGAUACGGCCCAGACUCCUACGGGAGGCAGCAGUGGGGAAUAUUGCACAAUGGGCGGAAGCCUGAUGCAGCAACGCCGCGUGCGGGAUGACGGCCUUCGGGUUGUAAACCGCUUUCGCCUGUGACGAAGCGUGAGUGACGGUAAUGGGUAAAGAAGCACCGGCUAACUACGUG